RNAcentral lists this ribosomal RNA (945 nucleotides) under Salmonella enterica subsp. enterica serovar Oslo. RNAcentral's name for it is "partial 23S ribosomal RNA". It matches the Rfam family "Bacterial large subunit ribosomal RNA", at positions 1214 to 2141 of the family's 2925-position model. Lineage: Bacteria; Pseudomonadati; Pseudomonadota; Gammaproteobacteria; Enterobacterales; Enterobacteriaceae. The record is from RNAcentral.
CUGUGUGUUGUUGGGUAGGGGAGCGUUCUGUAAGCCUGUGAAGGUGUGUCGUGAGGCAUGCUGGAGGUAUCAGAAGUGCGAAUGCUGACAUAAGUAACGAUAAUGCGGGUGAAAAACCCGCACGCCGGAAGACCAAGGGUUCCUGUCCAACGUUAAUCGGGGCAGGGUGAGUCGACCCCUAAGGCGAGGCCGAAAGGCGUAGUCGAUGGGAAACGGGUUAAUAUUCCCGUACUUGGUGUUACUGCGAAGGGGGGACGGAGAAGGCUAUGUUGGCCGGGCGACGGUUGUCCCGGUUUAAGCGUGUAGGUGUGUGUUCCAGGUAAAUCCGGUUCACUUUAACACUGAGGCGUGACGACGAGGCACUACGGUGCUGAAGCAACAAAUGCCCUGCUUCCAGGAAAAGCCUCUAAGCAUCAGGUAACAUCAAAUCGUACCCCAAACCGACACAGGUGGUCAGGUAGAGAAUACCAAGGCGCUUGAGAGAACUCGGGUGAAGGAACUAGGCAAAAUGGUGCCGUAACUUCGGGAGAAGGCACGCUGACACGUAGGUGAAGUGAUUUACUCAUGGAGCUGAAGUCAGUCGAAGAUACCAGCUGGCUGCAACUGUUUAUUAAAAACACAGCACUGUGCAAACACGAAAGUGGACGUAUACGGUGUGACGCCUGCCCGGUGCCGGAAGGUUAAUUGAUGGGGUCAGCGCAAGCGAAGCUCCUGAUCGAAGCCCCGGUAAACGGCGGCCGUAACUAUAACGGUCCUAAGGUAGCGAAAUUCCUUGUCGGGUAAGUUCCGACCUGCACGAAUGGCGUAAUGAUGGCCAGGCUGUCUCCACCCGAGACUCAGUGAAAUUGAACUCGCUGUGAAGAUGCAGUGUACCCGCGGCAAGACGGAAAGACCCCGUGAACCUUUACUAUAGCUUGACACUGAACAUUGAGCCUUGAUGUGUAG